Molecule: ribosomal RNA, 492 nt
Filed under: uncultured bacterium
Lineage: Bacteria
Description: partial 16S ribosomal RNA
Rfam family: Bacterial small subunit ribosomal RNA
Source: RNAcentral
AAUGAACGCUGGCGGCAGGCCUAACACAUGCAAGUCGAGCGACAACACAGGAAGAGCUUGCUCUUACGGGUGGCGAGUGGCGGACGGGUGACGCAUACAUCGGAUACUACUGUUACGUGGGGAAUAACGUAGUAAAGGCUCUACUAAUGCCUCAUAUGUCCUACCGGGUGAAGCAGGAGUUCUUCUCGCCUUUCGCGAUUGUAUUAGCCGAUGUCGCAUCAGCUAGUUGGCUGGGUAACGGCCUAGCAAGGCGACGAUCCGUAGCUGGUCUGAGCGGGUGAUCGGCCACACUGGAACUGAGACACGGUCCAGACUCCUACGGGAGGCAGCAGUAGGGAAUCUUGGGCAAUGGGCGAAAGCCUGAUCCAGCAAUACCGCGUGAGUGAUGAAGGCCUUCGGGUCGUAAAGCCCUGUUGUUGGGAAAGAACAAAAGCGGGUUAAUCUCUGGAUGUACUGACGGUACCAAAAGAAUAAGCCCCGGCUAACUUCGUG